GACAGAGGGUGCAAACGUUGCUCGGAAUCACUGGGCGUAAAGGGCGUGUAGGCGGGAAGGCAAGUCAGAUGUGAAAGCCCUGGGCUCAACCCAGGAACUGCAUUUGAAACUCCCUUUCUUGAGUGUCGGAGAGGAAAGCGGAAUUCCUGGUGUAGAGGUGAAAUUCGUAGAUAUCCGGAGGAACACCAGUGGCGAAGGCGACUUUCUGGCCUGUUCUUGACGCUGAGGCGCGAAAGCUAGGGGGGCAAACGGG
This 253-nucleotide ribosomal RNA is filed under the name uncultured bacterium. Its description in RNAcentral is "partial 16S ribosomal RNA". It matches the Rfam family "Bacterial small subunit ribosomal RNA", at positions 524 to 776 of the family's 1533-position model. The record is from RNAcentral.